This 488-nucleotide ribosomal RNA is filed under the name uncultured bacterium. RNAcentral's name for it is "partial 16S ribosomal RNA". It matches the Rfam family "Bacterial small subunit ribosomal RNA", at positions 28 to 506 of the family's 1533-position model. The record is from RNAcentral.
GAUGAACGCUAGCUACAGGCUUAACACAUGCAAGUCGAGGGGCAGCAUGAUUGAAGCUUGCUUCAAUCGAUGGCGACCGGCGCACGGGUGAGUAACACGUAUCCAACCUGCCGAUAACUCGGGGAUAGCCUUUCGAAAGAAAGAUUAAUACCCGAUAGUAUAGUAUUUCCGCAUGGUUUCACUAUUAAAGAACUUCGGUUAUCGAUGGGGAUGCGUUCCAUUAGAUAGUUGGCGGGGUAACGGCCCACCAAGUCAACGAUGGAUAGGGGUUCUGAGAGGAAGGUCCCCCACAUUGGAACUGAGACACGGUCCAAACUCCUACGGGAGGCAGCAGUGAGGAAUAUUGGUCAAUGGACGAGAGUCUGAACCAGCCAAGUAGCGUGAAGGAUGACUGCCCUAUGGGUUGUAAACUUCUUUUAUACGGGAAUAAAGUGGAGUAUGCAUACUCCUUUGUAUGUACCGUAUGAAUAAGGAUCGGCUAACUCCGU